AGCUUUGCGCAGUGGCAGUAUCGUAGCCAAUGAGGUUUAUCCGAGCUGUGAUUAUUGCUAAUUAGAAAUGAGGCAGCUGCUCCACCCAUUUGCAACUCUUCCCACUAAGUGGGCGCUGUGUGUCUUUUAGGCUUACUCCAACCUACUGAGAGCUAACAUGGAUGGGCUGAAGAAGAGGGACAAAAAGAGCAAGAGU
The sequence is a small nuclear RNA, 196 nucleotides long. Its record names the gene U4. It matches the Rfam family "U4 spliceosomal RNA". From Rfam's summary of the family: U4 small nuclear RNA (U4 snRNA) is a component of the major U2-dependent spliceosome. The structure of U4 snRNA from yeast and human has been reported. U4 snRNA presents a k-turn RNA motif in the 5p-SL related to recognition of Snu13 protein. The record is from Ensembl.